This 383-nucleotide ribosomal RNA is filed under the name uncultured bacterium. RNAcentral describes it as "bacterial SSU rRNA". It matches the Rfam family "Bacterial small subunit ribosomal RNA", at positions 30 to 416 of the family's 1533-position model. The record is from RNAcentral.
AUUGAACGCUGGCGGAAUGCUUUACACAUGCAAGUCGAACGGCAGCACGGGAGCUUGCUCCUGGUGGCGAGUGGCGAACGGGUGAGUAAUGCGUCGGAACGUACCGAGUAAUGGGGAUAACGCAGCGAAAGCUGUGCUAAUACCGCAUACGCCCUGAGGGGAAAGUGGGGGAUCGCAAGACCUCACGUUAUUCGAGCGGCCGACGUCUGAUUAGCUAGUUGGUGGGUAAAGGCCUACCAAGGCGACGAUCAGUAGCGGGUCUGAGAGGAUGAUCCGCCACACUGGAACUGAGACACGGUCCAGACUCCUACGGAGGCAGCAGUGGGGAAUUUUGGACAAUGGGGCAACCCUGAUCCAGCCAUUCCGCGUGAGUGAAGAAGGCC